Molecule: ribosomal RNA, 434 nt
Filed under: uncultured bacterium
Lineage: Bacteria
Description: bacterial SSU rRNA
Rfam family: Bacterial small subunit ribosomal RNA
Source: RNAcentral
GAUGAACGCUGGCGGCGUGCCUAAUACAUGCAAGUCGAACGCAUUGUGGUUGAAAUGAUAUGAAGAACUUGUUCAGAUUUGAUUUUCAACAUUGCAAUGAGUGGCGAACGGGUGAGUAACACGUGGGAAACCUACCUCUUAGCAGGGGAUAACAUUUGGAAACAAAUGCUAAUACCGUAUAAUAUUAAAACCGCAUGGUUUUAGUUUAAAAGAUGGUCUUGCUAUCACUAAGAGAUGGUCCCGCGGUGUAUUAGUUAGUUGGUGAGGUAAUGGCUCACCAAGACAAUGAUACAUAGCCGAGUUGAGAGACUGACCGGCCACAAUGGGACUGAGACACGGCCCAUACUCCUACGGGAGGCAGCAGUAGGGAAUCUUCCACAAUGGACGAAAGUCUGAUGGAGCAACGCCGCGUGUGUGAUGAAGGGUUUCGGCUC